GUUCAGUGCUGCUGCUUUCGUAUCUGCAGGACACAUGAGUGAUGAUUCACAUAAAAUGGACUCGACCUCAUUUGCAAAGAAUUUGUUCAGAGGACAAGUAGAAGUGGAGCAUGUGUUUCCAUUUCCUAAUGUUUUAUCAGAGGAACAAACGGAGACACUAGAGGCACUUGUUGCCCCUGUUGAAAAGUUCUUUACGCUCGUGCUUUCCGACGACGUUGAUCAUUAGGGUGGUGCACUGCGGCCUCAAGGACUUCUGCUCGCACGGCAGCGCGCAGCAGC
This is a long non-coding RNA of Priapulus caudatus, 279 nucleotides long. RefSeq lists it as uncharacterized. The record is from RefSeq and is a predicted model, not a curated record. The transcript has 4 exons. Lineage: Eukaryota; Metazoa; Priapulida; Priapulimorpha; Priapulimorphida; Priapulidae.